ACCUAGACCAUUCUAAUCUUACAUAGGGUCAAGUUAAGCUAGGUUAUGCUUGGUUUAGGGUCAAGAUUAGCUAGGUUAGGUUUGGUAGGGUCAAGAUUAGCUAGGUUACACUUGGGUAGGUCAAGAUUAGCUAGGUUAAGGUUGGUUUGGGUCAAGAUUAGCUAGGUUAAGGUUGGUUUGGGUCAAGAUUAGCUUGGUUAAGGUUGGUUUGGGUCAAGAUUAGCUAGGUUAGACUUGGUUUGGGUCAAGAUUAGCUAGGUUAAGGUUGGUUUGGGUCAAGAUUAGCUAGGUUAGACUUGGGUAGGGUCAAGAUUAGCUAGGUUAGACUUGGUUUGGGUCAAGAUCAGCUAGGUUAUGCUUGAAUGAGGUCAAGGUCAGCUAGGUUAUGCUUGAAUGAGGUCAAGAUUAGCUAGGUUAGGCUUGUUUAGGUCAAGGUCAGCUAGGUUAAGGUUGCUUUAGGUCAAGAUUAGCUAAGUUAAGGUUGGAUUAGGUCAAGAUUAGCUAGGUUAGGCUUGGUUAGGUCAAGGUCAGCUAGGUUAGGUUUGUUCCAUAAUGUCCAUAACACUGCUAGGCUUGACACUGGUGGCUUGACCCUGACCUCACAAUUUUUCCAUGACCUGAUAUAUAGUUGAAUCUAUAUGAUGUUAAGGAUGUUUAUUGAGUAUACUAACAGUGCUCUUCCUCCUCCUCCUCCUCCUCUUCUUCUUCUUCUUCUUCUUCUUCUUCUUCUUUCCCUUUCUUCUUUCAAAUUCUUCCUCCUUUCUCUAAAUAUCUCUUCCCUUCUCUCUCCUCCUCCUCCUCCUCCUCCUCCUCCCUUCUUUCAAAUUCUUCCUCUAUAUCAAUUUCUAUCAUUCUUUCCCUCUCUUGAAAUAUCUCUUCCUCCUCCUCCUCCUCCUCCUCCCAUCUUUCAAAUUCUUCCUCUUGUUCAAUCUCUAUCAUUCUUUCCCUCUCUCAAAAUAUCUCAUCCAUUUUCCUCCUCUUCCUCCUCCUCCUCCUCCUCUUCCG
Long non-coding RNA from Eriocheir sinensis (Chinese mitten crab), 1005 nucleotides. RefSeq lists it as uncharacterized. The transcript has 3 exons. The record is from RefSeq and is a predicted model, not a curated record. Lineage: Eukaryota; Metazoa; Arthropoda; Malacostraca; Decapoda; Varunidae.